AAAAAAAACAAACCUGGUUUUCAUGUCCAAUGUUUGACUAUUUAUUUUAUAUUAAUUUUUUUUAUAAUUAGUAUUUUUAUUAUUGUUAGAUGAUAAAACAUGAUUAAUACUUUAUGUGUGAUUUAUCUUUUUAAUUUUUACAAAUCAGACGAAUGGUCAAACAUGAUACGGAAACCCAGGGUUUAUCUUUUU
This 192-nucleotide microRNA precursor is filed under the name Oryza nivara. Its description in RNAcentral is "MIR812 microRNA precursor family". It matches the Rfam family "MIR812 microRNA precursor family". The record is from Rfam by way of RNAcentral. Lineage: Eukaryota; Viridiplantae; Streptophyta; Magnoliopsida; Poales; Poaceae.